GCCGCUAUGGCUCAACUGGUAAUAGUUUUGACUUUCAUCAGACAGGUCCCGGGUUCGAUUCCCCCUAGUGGCA
Non-coding RNA from Caenorhabditis brenneri, 73 nucleotides. The record is from the annotation of a GenBank genome assembly. Lineage: Eukaryota; Metazoa; Nematoda; Chromadorea; Rhabditida; Rhabditidae.